GAAUAUUGGACAAUGGGGGGAACCCUGAUCCAGCCAUGCCGCGUGUGUGAAGAAGGCCGUUUGGUUGUAAAGCACUUUAAGCGAGGAGGAGGCUACUCGAGUUAAGACCUAGAGAGAGGGGACGUUACGCGCAGAAGAAGCACCGGCUAACUGUGGGCCAGCAGCCGCGGGAAUACAGAGGGUGCAAGCGUUAAUCGGAUUUACUGGGCGUAAAGCGCGCGUAGGUGGCCAAUUAAGUCAAAUGUGAAAUCCCCGAGCUUAACUUGGGAAUUGCAUUCGAUACUGGUUGGCUAGAGUAUGGGAGAGGAUGGUAGAAUUCCAGGUGUAGCGGUGAAAUGCGUAGAGAUCUGGAGGAAUACCGAUGGCGAAGGCAGCCAUCUGGCCUAAUACUGACACUGAGGUGCGAAAGCAUGGGGAGCAAAC
Molecule: ribosomal RNA, 423 nt
Filed under: uncultured bacterium
Lineage: Bacteria
Description: bacterial SSU rRNA
Rfam family: Bacterial small subunit ribosomal RNA
Source: RNAcentral